Molecule: long non-coding RNA, 17693 nt
Filed under: Hordeum vulgare
Lineage: Eukaryota; Viridiplantae; Streptophyta; Magnoliopsida; Poales; Poaceae
Description: long non-coding RNA (HVUL_LNC013921)
Rfam family: MIR1120/MIR1122 microRNA precursor family (bases 5609-5695)
Source: RNAcentral
GUCUGCAGUCAUCUCGAGGCAUCAUGCUUCGCUGUCUCUUUUAUUAGUAAAGGUAUAUAAAAGAUGAGCAAAUUCUCGUGUGAAAUAGGGUAGUCAGCUAACUGACAAACUUUGUCUAAUCACACCCACCACUUGAAGUUACUUUCGGAGCUCCCAUUACAAGUUACUUUCACAGAGAUCCUUCAGAAUUCGACUGACGGCUAAUAUAUUCAUACUUUUCCCACAAUUUCCGCAACGUCGUUUUCUCGUGUCCAGACUCGCUUCAUUCGGAGCUCUUCAGCCUUCACAUGAAUGGGCACCGUGACACCCGUUGUAAAUUAGGAAUCAGAAACCAAGUCUUCAAAAAGAACAGUAGAAUUUUCAACCCUAAUUAAAGUGGACAGAAGCUCAGUUUGUCUGGCUAUUCAAUAACCAUUUGAAAGGCUAAAAACUUCGGCAGACAAACCUUUUGCGUGUUGCAAAAAAAAGGCUGAAAACUUCAAAGGAAGAAUAGAUGUGUAUAUACUACUUCAAACAUCAAAACUAUCCUCUCUGAAUGACCAAAGAUGAGAAGUAAAAAAUGCAAGGUACCAUUCUCGCAGAUUGUCAUUUUCAAAUCAAUACAGUAAUCCAUUCAGCUAUUUACCAAUCCCAAUAAUCCUUUUCACAAAAAAAUAUCAUUACAGGAACACAGCUCGAAAUGUGAAACAUAAAUAUUACAGGUUCGUUAAAUAGAUGGACACACACAAAAAGUACCACCAAAUAAAAUCUACCCUGAUGCAAGCCAGCCUACAUCAUCAUGCAUACCAGUGACAUCAUAUUACCCUACCAUUGAUAGUGACUGAAGAGACCCAGGGGGAAGGGGUCAAUAAGUAAUAAAUGACAAUGGUAUACUUCAAACCACUUCAAAUCAAGCAAAUUAUUUGACUUUAAAGUUCUCCGCAAAGUGGGCAUAAUAGAGGCACAUUAAAAUGAAGGGGAUAUGACAGAAUACUUACAGAGUUGCCCCUGGGUAUCCCUGAAAGGCACUCGCACAUCAAAUGGCUCCAAGAGUAUAGCUUAAAGUUUUUACAAGGAGCCAGUAUGAACAGGACAGCUGCCAGCAAGAAUCAGAGAAGAUGCAAUCUAAAGGUCAGAUCAUGCUAAUAAACUAUUGCAUGAUGUAAUACUAUAUUAGGAAUUGCCAGACAUAGACGGAACUUCACGAUAAAAGCACCUGAUAUAGUAUAGAUAGCAAUAAGAUGUUGUGGUUGUUGUUCAUGUAUGCUAAUGCCGACUUAUCAUGCUUUUACCAAAUGUUGUGUCAAAACAAAAAAAAGGACGGUUGCCACCCACCAUCCAGAAGAGGAAAAUAUUUAGCAGUAUUUAUGGCAUCCACAUUUAGAGACUUCUGAUGUACAAUUAGCGUGCCAUUUCUUGGAAUAUCAAUUCAGGGUAUAUGUGAAUCUUUUUUGAGAAAGUGUAUAUGUGAAUGUUACUUCUUCUCUUCUAUAUAAUGGAAAAAAGACUUAACUCCACUUCAUAAUACAUGACUUGCUAAAACAAUUGAGAUUGGUCAAAUGAAAGUAAUACUGCCACAUUUUUUCAUGAAAAAUAUUUCACAAAUUUAUAAUUAUUUAACUUUUAAAUUAAUAACAUGUUCAUAUGAAAAUAACAUUAAAAUUUGCACCCAGGCCAUUUGUAUAACUGCAUGCAUAUUUUAGGACGGGUCACAAGGAACGGCAGGAGUAUUUUCCAAACAAAAAUUAGCACGAAGAUCAAACCACAGAAUAUGCAAGUAAAGUAUAUAGCCAAAUGAGAAAUAACGCAUGAACCAAUGGAAGCAGACUAGAUAAGAAGAUCUCACUAAAGUCCCUACGGUGCACCAAGACCAGGUUCAUGGAUGAGUCUUCAACUAGUGCUGAUGGACGCAUGAUGGAGAUUCUAAUCCAAGGGAAACAACAAUUAGAAAGAAAGCAACCAGAUCAGACCACCACAAAUUAAACCGUAUUUUAUUACCAUCACACGCAGCCACCUUUUCCCAUGUCAAUAAUACACCUCGUCUCUCCUGCCUGCCUUUUGAGCACAUAAACCCACCGCCCUCACCAUCAUCAUGCCUAACCAAGUUUAGGCCCUAACCAAAGCAUCCUCCCGUCCCCUCUCACAGGAGAGCCCCGAAGCUAGAGGAGGAAGGAUACCGCCAUGGGGAGAGCUCCGUGCUGCGACAAGGCGAGCGUGAAGAAGGGCCCAUGGUCGCCGGAGGAGGACGCCACGCUCAAGUCCUACAUCGAGCAGAACGGCACCGGCGGCAACUGGAUCGCGCUGCCGCAGAAGAUUGGUAUGUGCUCAUCAGAAUUGCCGAGUAUGAUGUACUGAUGCUGCCAGUAAGGAGUAGUGAUAAUAGAUAGAAGCUAAUUAGGUGUGCGUUCUUGUGUCUCUGGGGCAUCCGCAGGCCUGAGGAGGUGUGGAAAGAGCUGCCGCCUCCGGUGGCUCAAUUACCUCCGGCCGAACAUAAGGCACGGUGGAUUCUCAGAUGAGGAGGAUAGGAUCAUCCUCAGCCUCUACAUCAGCAUAGGCAGCAGGUACUGGGACAGUUGGUCUCGCCCGUCUUGUCAAUUGUAUGAUCAACUCUUGUAUGAUCAACUCAAGUAUAGGAUUAGCUGCAAACUGGUAGGCAGGCACAUGGGUGUAGUACAAUCUAUUACCUAUUACCUAUUAUCUAUGAUCUAAGUUCUAAACGUAUCAUGCAUGCCUUUGGUUGGGCGUAGGUGGUCGAUAAUAGCAGCACAGCUGCCGGGGAGGACGGACAAUGACAUCAAGAACUACUGGAACACGAGGCUCAAGAAGAAGCUCUUCGGCAAACAGUCGCGCAAGGACCAGAGGCAGCACCAGUUCGGACGCCAGGGAGCGAAUGGCGGGCAUAAGGAAGAAGCCAGCGAGGGCUCAGCCGGGAACAAUGGAGUUGCUGCUGGUGCUUACAAUUGGCACCAGCACACAAUGGCCAUGCCGCCCCAUCCGAUGCCGGGUUCAAUGGUGGAAGGCAAUCUUAUCGGAGAAGGGGUGGAUGAGUCCAUCCGGAAGCUUCUGUUUAAGCUAGGAGGAAGCUCUUUUGCCGCCCUGCCAGCCCCGCCGUGCCUUCCUCCACCAAUGUACGGGGAAGCUCCAAACUUCGUGGCGCCAUCGGUGCACACGGCCCCUCUAAACGAAGGUGGCAUCCACUGUUCUAGUGUGCUGCCUGCACUGGAGCUGGACGAGAGCUUCCAAUUCAACCAGGUCAAGCUGGACGGGCUGGAAUGCUUCUUCGGCAUGGGGGACCAGAGCAUGAGGUGGAAUGAAGUGAGCCCCUUGGUCUGCCCUAACACUACUGUUGCGUCCAGCUCCCAAGGGAUGCAGCAGUACUGCCUCCUAGAGGAGCCGGUCGACCUUGGGCUGCAGUAGAGAACUAGCUAUUGGUGUUUGUUCUCAUGUACAUGCAUGAUUGUGGAUUUUGUGGUGUAAAUUUGUAGCAUUCAUGGGGAAUGGUGAAAGAUGAUGAGAGCUCUGAAUUAAGAACAAUAAUGUCUCUCACCACUCCUAGAUGAGAGAUGUCUUGUUUUCAGGUAUCUCUAUGUGAGUCUUGUAUUGAAAUGUUUUUUUUCCCACUACCAGGGUUACUGCCUUACAGAAACACUUACCGUUUUAGAUUGUACUGGUUGUUAUGUUAGUUUAUCUGGCCUAUGUGUGAUAUUUGUACCGAGUACCAACCCUAGCGGCUAGAUACUUUUUUGUGUGUUCUCUAACAGCAUAGACAAAGUUUACUUGCAGCAUGUGCAAGGUCUGCCUAAUUUUGGUCAAAAAGACAUGGUUAUACUUCAUGAGACAUUCAUGGACUUAAUAAAGCAUGUCUAUAAAGUAUCAAAAUCGUCGUUACGAAGUUAGAGAAACUAAGUAUAAAGUGUUAACAUACGUAAUUUUACACGUCUUUUGGGAGCGUGACACACAUAGUCAGAAAAUGAAUUUGCAAUUUUUUGACAGAAAUUCAUCUACUUGAAUUCAAAUCAAUGUUCCAACGAUUUUGGCAAAAAUGGAUUUUACUAUAAGUUAGUGAAAGGACAUCUCUGAUGACAUGAAACACGAGAUUAAUACUUAGUUUGUGUAAGUUGCUCACAUUGUGGCAGUCUUAUCAUAUAGACAAAAUAAAUUCGAAUUUUAUUACUGUGGAAUGAUGGAAUGGACACUUUGUUUAUCCAGUCAUCAUAUGUAAUUAUCAAAAGUUUGCUUCUACUUCACCUGUUUGAUUGCAUAUGUUGCGUUUCCAGUGUUCAUACUUGAAAUGGGAUACUGGGUACUAUUUCUCAUUAGCCAAUGGGACACAGCACUAAACUCCUUCCACGGAAAAACUGAAGUCAUUGCUUGACUUUUGUUAAAAAAAUGAUUAGUUGUCAACAUGUCACAACAGAUAAAGAACAUGUAUCCAGGUAUAGUAGCUAAACCAUAAACCAGUAUUCUCUACAACUAAAUAAAAUGUCCGCUCAAAGAACUAGUGUCUGAAGGUGAAAAACGAAAUGACUUAACGAUCAUUGACAGUUUGACACCAAAUAUUGUUCUAGAGAGAACGGUUUUGCAUGUGUGCAUUGCUUUUCCAUGCAAGUUAAUGUUGGCAUGAAGAAAGUAAUCAACAUGCUGUUUGAAGAGUUAAUAACAUGUAAAGGAAGACUCGGGAUACAUCGAAGUUUUGUGAUUACUCUGAUAGUUGGAGUGAUUGAAAUGAUAGUGCUGAUUAAGUUUGUGAAGUAAAAUUUGAAAUUAUAAUUCUAAAGAAGACAUGAAAUCAGCAAUAUUAAAAUCUGACAAAUAUAUGUUUGAUUUGCGGAGUCAGCAAUUUCUAAUAUAGUAGUUUCAGCUAGUCAUGUGUGAAUCUUGGAAUCCUCAAUGCAUUCUUGCACGAUGAGCAAUCCAACAGGCAGCGGCUCCCCAGCUUUGGUUCUAUUUCUGAUAACUAAAGUAGUUACACACACCAGUUAAAUGAAUGGAUUUAUUUUCCUUGGAAUUAAUCAGAGAGUUCAAGGUUUGUUGACUAUUAUAAAUGGCUAGGUAUGUUGCUUGUUUGCAAAUAGGAGUUCAAAGUUCAAGCAAAACAAGAUGGAGUGUGCAUUAUGAUUAGGAUCAUCAGAGACGACCAAGUCCAUUAUUAGUUAGAAAAAAGAAAACUACAGUAGAGGUUAAAGAGCGUGUCUGAGAAGAGUCAAAGAGAUUAAGUCGCAGUCCAAAGACAUAGGGAGCUUGAGAAUAUAGCUAACCUCUACCAAGAAGUCAAUGUUGCUUUGGUAACCUAACCUCUGCAUAGGUGAGGUAUAGGCACGUUUUAAAGUGGUGGCUUGAUGGGACAAAGGUUGCCUCAGCUGUUAGUACCAGUUGGUGGUGUGACAAGAAACUACAUUGAAUUGAAUUUAUGAUUCCGAUCAAUCAAAUAAAAGAAAACAGUUUGGUACUUCUUAUAGUUUUCCAAUUCAGUCGUUUCGCCGUGUCGACAUACAUCACCUAUACACCCAGUACUGGAUAUUCAUUUUCCACCAUAUUCCAUACAGAAACGAUCUUAGGAGACAAUAUUUAAACUGACUACACUCACCUUGAGGCCAGCUUCUCAAGUCUCAAUGGUGACCAAUGAUUAGUACUCCCUCUAUAAACUAAUAUAAGAGUGUUUAGAUAACUAAAAUAGUGAUCUAAACGUUCUUAUAUUAGUUUACGGAGGGAGUAACUGUUAACUUGAUGUUUAGUACGGCCACACCUGCUGUAACAGUUCAGUCUCAGACUGUGAUACUCAGAACCUAAGCCCUCAACCCCUGCACAGAUGGAGCAUUGAUUUGCCUUUCAUUUUGAACAAUAACCAAUUGAUACCAGAUUAUGUAACAAGAAACCUAAAAAACAUAUUCUUCUCGACGGUAAGUAGUUUUACUUCAUUCCAUGGCCUUCUUAGACAUCAUAAAUUGCAGUAGAAUUUUCAACCAGGCUACUUACAACAUUUACUUUGUCAAAAAAGAAUUGAUCAAUGUAUCGUAUAAGAUAUGCACUGAAGCUGUGGACAAGAAAUCCUUGUGUACUACGUAAGCAGUGACAUUGCAGGAAGACCAUGGACACAUUGACUUGACUGAUCAUCUUCUGUAGAGUUGGAAAUUAUAAGGUAGAGAAUCUCUACCUUCCCAUUUCAAGAGAGUCGGGAAGUAAGCACUAACACAGGACAUAAUGAACAUAUGUAAAUGCUAGACAACAGUUUAUUGAGGAAACGUAAUGAUAAAAGGCGCCUAGUGAACACAAAAUGUCAUCUUGUUUUUUUGAAUGAAAGGGGUCGCCCCCCCCCCCCCCCCCCCCCCCCCCCCNNNNNNNNNNAGGGGGCGCCCCCCCCCCCCCCCUGCCCCAUUUUAUUAAACAAAGCAGAACAAACCACAUCACAGCCCAAGAUAAAAUGUCAUCUUGUCUAACAGGAAACGUUUAAAUGAGAGAAUUGGUUAGGUUAAUGCCAUUACAGUGGCAUUUCUUAAACAUUGAGUAACAAUAUGGUUAAAUGUGAGACUCUGAGAGGAUGCUUCUUCAGUCAAAGAGGGUUAGUCUUGGAGUUAGCAUCAAUUUGCCAGUAAAUCAUGGGUUGAUACAAGUCCAAACACCAAUUAUUUCGGUAAUGUCAAGGCUUCUUCCCUCAUGUAGGUCCUUACGCAGUUAUACUCAAGCUAAGCCUUUCAACACAAGUGGCCUAGAUUUAUAAGAGUUAACAUAAUUUAUUCUUUGCCAUUCCAAAGUUACCAGUUGCAUACGUACCCUUUAAUUUAUCGUUACUCUAACAAACACUCUUAUAAAGAUCUGAAUUGGUGGUGGUCCGUUCACCUUACCUCUUAAGUUACUAAUUACCAAAAUCGUCAUCCCUUGUGAGGAGAACAUACGCUUGAUUUAAUUUAAUACAUAUUUUGAGAUAAUCUAUUUAGUUUGCCGAAAAUUAGGGCCUAUGAUGGCACACGCAUUUAAAUAACUGAUGCAAUAUAAAAAUAACUUGCGUGUUUGCUAUGUAGGGAUUAAACCCAACGUCCGGGUCGUACUGGUAUACGUUUUCGAGUAGGUUUGCUGGUAGGCUCUUUUAUACCUAUAUAUAUACUUGUAUCCCUAUCCUUUGUAACAUCAGAUCGAAAAGCAAGAAAUAUACCACAGGACCGAUACGGUCUUGUAGCCAUCAAAUCGCCUACUGUUAUUCUCGUGCAAUAGCUAGCUAGAUCGAUUCCAGCGAAUACAUCCACCUGCUAGCUUGCUUGCUAGUUGAUACGUACGUGAGUUGGCCAAAAGCAUCCGCUACUCAAAACGCAUCAAGAGCAAGGUGUAUACGUGCCCGAUCACGACGGAAAGCAUUGAUCGGCGAGCGACGUACGACGUACUAGCAGGGAUCUGGGCCAACAAUUGGUAUCAGAGCCUCGACGAUCUACGAUCUACGAUGACGGACAGCGACGCUGAGUCGGUCAAGUCCGGCAAAGGCGGUCCCAAGGCGAACAAGAACGGCGACGAGGUGAAGAAGGACGGCAAGUCAGCAACCAGUGGUGGAGGAACGGGCGGCGCCAACGUCCAAGCGCAUCGCAACAUCCCCAUCCAGUAUCCGAUGCUCACCGACGUCAACUACGGCGUGUGGGCGGUGAAGAUGAAGAUUAUUCUCCGAUCUCUUCGAGUGUGGGAGGCCAUCACGGACGACGGCGUCGAUGAGGAGCGCGAUGAAGGUGCCAUGGCCGCCAUAGCCCAGUCUGUGUCGGAUUCCGUGCUGAUGACAUUGGCGGAGUUCGAGACAGCAAGAGAGGCAUGGAACGCACUCAAGGAGAUGAGGAUCGAAGAAGAUCGCGUCACCAAGGCUCGGGCACAAGUGCUGAAGCGCCAAUUUCACAAGUUGCAGAUGGAGGAAACUGAAUCGGUGAACGACUACGCCAUGCGUCUUACUACUCUGGUGGGAGAGAUCCGCGCGCUUGGUUCAAAGCUCGAGGAGACCGAGAUCGUGGAGAAGUUUUUCAGUUCAGUGACUGAUAAAUUCACGUACAUCAUCGGCACGCUCGAGCAGCUUUACGACAUCGACGACAUGACCAUAACGGAGGCGAUCGGACGCUUGCGGACAUGGGAAGAGAAUGCUCGUGGUUGUCGGAAAGGCAAAGGAGGAGGUAAUGACCAACUCAUGUACUCGCUCGCAGAUUGGGACGCCCCAAGUAGCAAAGGAAGGCGUGACGGUGGCGAAGGCUCAAGAAACACGAAGGGCGAUGGACAAACCGGAAAAGGCAAACCACAAGGUCGUGGUAAGGCGGGCCAAUCUAAAGAGCAGAAGCCACGGAACUUGAACUUGUCCGAGGUCAAGUGCUAUAACUGCAAUAAGAUGGAUCACUUUGCGAAGGAUUGUCCAAAGCCUAACAAGCGGGAGAUCAAGGCAAAUUUGGCAAAGCAGGAAGGCAAAGGUCCAGGUCUUCUGAUGGCCGAAGUUUGUGAUCUCGCUGAAACGGUGGUUGUGAAACCAAGUCCGAAGGUGCUACUUCAUGAGAAGAAAGUGACACCAAAGUUAUCCGGUGAUCAGAACGUGUCGUGGUAUCUCGACACGGGUGCCAGUAACCACAUGACGGGGUGCAAGGAGAAAUUCCUCGAGUUGGAAUACGAUGUUGAAGGUUCGGUCAAGUUCGGUGAUGGUUCAGCUGUGGAGAUUUGCGGGCAAGGAUCUAUCCUCUUCGAGGGUCUCACAGGAGAACAUCGCAUACUCACCGGAGUGUACUACAUCCCACGGCUGCGCAACAACAUCAUCUCUAUUGGGAAGCUUGACGAGAAUGGAUGCAAGGUGAAUAUCGAGAACGGAGUGAUGACGAUCUUCGACAACCUCCGAAACGUGCUAGCUCGUGUUAAUCGCACACGGAAUAGGCCCUAUAUCCUCAACCUUGAUCAAUCUCAACCGGAGUGUUGGCUUGCCAAGAGUGAUGAUGAUUCGUGGUUAUGGCGUGCUAGAUUUGGACACGUUAACUUCUACGCCUUGAAGAAGAUGUCAAAGAUGGAGAUGGUAUCCGGGAUGCCAGUUAUCGACCAUGUUGAUCGAGUAUGUGACGGGUGCUUGGUUGGAAAACAGCACCGCAGGCCGUUCCCUGCUCAGUCUACCUAUCGUGCAAGUGAUGCACUCGAGCUGCUCCAUGGUGAUCUAUGUGACCCUAUCACCCCGACAACUCACGCGGGAAAGAAGUAUUUCUUCCUUGUGGUAGACGACUACUCGAGAUAUAUGUGGGUCAUUCUCCUACGAUCUAAAGAUGAGGCGUUUGAAGCGUUCAAGAAGCUGAAGGCUGCAACGGAGAUGGAACACAAGUUGAAGGUUCGCGCUCUGCGGACAUAUCGCGGCGAAGAGUUUACAUCAAAUGAGUUCAACGACUACUGCGAGAAGAUUGGCAUAAAAAGGUUCCUCACGGCACCUUACACGUCGCAGCAGAACGGGGUCGUUGAAAGGCGCAAUCGAACCGUCGUUGACAUGGCAAGGAGUUUACUCAAGAGCAAGAACCUACCGGGGACUUUUUAGGGAGAAGCUGUCUCGACGGCGGUCUAUCUUCUCAACCGGGCUCCAACGAAGGCGGUGAUCGGCAAGACUCCGUAUGAAGCAAUUUACGGACGUAAGCCGAAUGUGUCUCAUCUACGGACAUUCGGGUGCGUGGCACAUGUGAAGAUGGCGGAGCCGCACCUCUCAAAGCUUGCCGAUCAUAGCACCAAGAUGGUGUUCAUCGGAUACGAGAGGAGUUCCGGCACCAAGGCAUACCGCUUCUACGAUCCACAAACCAAGCGUCUACGGAUUUCACGUGACGUCGUGUUUGAAGAAAACCAAGCGUGGAAUUGGAGCGCCGCAGCCGACGAUGCUCCAAACGGUAACAUAUUCACGGUUGAAUUUCCAACUGAUGAUGAUGUAGGGGAGGAUGCCCAGGUGGUUGGCAAGACGCCCAACCAAGGUGACCACAAUGGUAGUGAUCAUCAUGGUGCCGACACCGACGACAACGCGCAUAGGUCGCAAGGAAAUAGCGACAACGACGCGCACGGCACGGGCAGAGAUCUUGACGACAACAUCGACAACGAGGCGCAUAGUGACGACAACAAUCAACAUGAUGGUCACGGUCACGGUCACGACGACUACGCCGACGACACGGAUGUCGAUGACACGCCCGGGUCUCAGCCAUCUUCCUCAAGUGCAUCAACACCGACACAAUUUGUGUCGCCUCUUUCGCAAGCCACAACGGAUUCCUCAGGGCCUCGUCGCUACAAGAUGCUGAAGAAAGUCUACAAGUACACCAAGCUAGUUACGCUCGAGUACUCCGGACUAUGUCUGUUCGGAGUUGAGGAGCCGGCGAACUUCGUAGAGGCGAGCAAAAGUCGUAGUUGGACGCACGCCAUGGAUGAAGAGAUGAAGGCGAUUGAGAGCAAUGGCACGUGGACUUUGGUAACCCGACCUCCAAACCAAAAGGCGAUAGGUUUGAAGUGGGUUUACAAGUUAAAGAAGGACACGGAGGGUGCCAUUGUGAAGUACAAGGCAAGACUCGUUGCAAAGGGCUACGUACAAUGUCAAGGAGUAGACUAUGAUGAGGUGUUUGCACCAGUUGCUCGAAGCGAGACGGUGAGAGUGCUCCUAGCUUUGGCAGCACAAGAGGAUUGGAAGGUUCAUCAUAUGGAUGUUAAAUCCGCUUUCCUCAAUGGCGAUCUCACAGAAGAAGUGUACGUGGAACAACCCCUCGGCUACGAGAAAAAAGGCGAAGAAGGGAAAGUUUACAAGCUCAAGAAGGCACUUCAUGGGUUGAAGCAAGCGCCAAGAGCUUGGAACUCAAAGUUAGACCGAAGUUUGGUCUCGCUCGGGUUCAAGAGAUGUCCACUCGAGCACGCAGUCUAUACAAAGAACUCCAAAGGCUCAAACCUGCUAGUUGGAGUUUAUGUCAACGAUCUGAUUAUCACCGGAGAUAACGUACAAGAAAUUGAACGUUUCAAGACGCAAAUGAAGAACAAGUUUAGCAUGAGUGAUCUGGGAUUACUCAGCUAUUACUUGGGCAUCGAAGUGAAGCAAAGCUCCGGAGAGAUUUCCCUAUGUCAAUCGGCCUACGCGGUCAAGUUAUUGGACAAGUGUGGCAUGUCAGAUUGCUACGAGACACAAGUUCCAAUGGACCAACGUCACAAGUUGAGCAAACGUAGCUCAAAUCCGCCGGUGGACACCAUAAUGUAUCAAAGCGUUGUGGGCAGCCUAAGAUACUUGGUGCAUACCCGACCUGACUUGGCUUAUUCAGUCGGGAUCGUGAGUCGUUUCAUGGAGAAUCCGACAACCGAACACAUGAGCGCGGUCAAUCAAAUCCUACGCUAUGUGAAAGGCAUAAUUAAUCUUGGCUGCACGUACAGAAAGGGAAAGGAAGGAUUGGUCCUUCGUGGAUAUUCGGAUAGCGACAUGGCAGGUGAUGUUGAUGACCGAAAGAGCACAACGGGCAUGGUUUUCUACCUUGGCCGGAAUUCGAUUAGCUGGAAUUCUCAGAAGCAAAAGGUGGUGGCACUGUCUUCAUGCGAGGCAGAAUACAUAGCGGCAAGCACGGCGGCUUGUCAAGCAGUGUGGCUGAGAAGACUCCUAGCUAUUCUUGCGAAGCGAGAUGUGCAGAAGGUGUCAUUGAAGAUCGACAACCAAGCUGCAAUCUCAUUGUGCAAAAAUCCGGUUCAUCACGAAAGGAGCAAGCACAUAGAUACCCGAUUCCAUCACAUCCGGGAGUGCAUUGAGGAGGGGUUGAUCGAAGUUCAGCAUGUGAACACGAAAGACCAGCUUGCCGAUAUUCUCACGAAGUCUCUCGGACGAUAGAAGUUCUUGAAGAUGCGAGAAAAGAUCGGCGUCCAAACUGUAAAGUAAGGACAUUGUGUUUAGGGGGUGAAUGUAGGGAUUAAACCCAACGUCCGGGUCGUACUGGUAUACGUUUCCGAGUAGGUUUGCUGGUAGGCUCUUCUAUACCUAUAUAUAUACUUGUAUCCCUACCCCUUGUAACAUCAGCUCGAAAAGCAAGAAAUAUACCACAGGACCGAUACGGUCCUGUAGCCAUCAAGUCGCCUACUGUUAUUCUCAUGCAAUAGCUAGAUAGAUAGAUUCCAGCGAAUACAUCCACCUGCUAGCUUGCUUGCUAGUUGAUACGUACCUGAGUUGGCCAAAAGCAUCCGCUACUCAAAACGCAUCAAGAACAAGGUGUAUACGUGCCUGAUCACGACGGAAAGCAUUGAUCGGCGAGCGACGUACGACGUACUAGCAGGGAUCUGGGCCAACAUGCUAUUAUUUAAGCAAAGAGCAACUUUCCGUAAGAAAAUUAAGUGAAUUAGUUUCUAAAUGCCGUUGACAAAUGAAAAUACACCAAUCAGUGAUCACUGCAGAUUCUAACAUAUCUAUGGAUUUGCUGUUUGAGUCAUUACCUUUUUCCAUUUCUCAUUGAGUCAUUUCAGCCAGAUACUAAACCUUUUUACAGAGGAAGGAAACAGAUGCUUCCUACCUAGUUGGGCACUACAUGUUGCUUACAGGGAAACCUACCUUGAACUGUUAUGCACAGCCUGUUAUAAAGCAGUGGUUGCCUGGCUAUUUAUUGCGACUAGUUUCACAUAGCGAUAUGAUAACAGGGAGAUGGCAACCAUUAUAAAGAACAUUGUAAAUAAGAAUGGUAACUAGUUCGAAGAACAACUGUAAAGUGUAAAGCAUUGAACUAGUCUGAAUAACACCAUAAAAGAACACACCAUUAGACCAAUUUGGGUAAGCAGUGCCAAGCUGCAUGUGCUUUGCACAGAACACGAAACAGUCCUUUAACAAAUCACGAGCCCUGAAAUAUAUAACAAGAACCUCUCACAAGCAGGAACGUACAACAAGAUAAGGUACACUCAUAAAAAAAGGAACACGCGAGCUACCAAAAUUCCAGUAUAAAAACCAUGGCUGCCGCUGUAAAGUGGUGAGAAUAUCCCUGCCCGACUAGGUUUCUGCUAGAAAGAGCGCCAUGCAAAACGUCAACAUUCACAACUUGAUGGCACAUGCCGUCAACACAACUUGAGUUAAUUUAUUUGUAGCCAAGUAUUGCCUGCGCCUGGGACAAGAGCUAAGCAACCAACACUGUGAUGUUAAAGAACUCAGGAAAUCUGAGAAGGGCUCAUUGUUUAUUGCAUGACAGAGACAGUCACUAAGAUGGAUUGCGAUGAUGCUUAACUUUUCUGAAGCUACAGCAAAAUGGCAGUUUUUUAUCUAACCCCCCCCCCCCCUCCCCCCGGGCAUAGUGUAUUGUACAUAUGUAGGUCGUAAUUAAUUACUGACUCACAGGGCAGGCACUUUAUUAGCUUGUUGAUUAUUCCUUUACAAGAAGAAGAUGUCGGGAUGGCUCUGAUUAUGUUGUCCAACAAAGAACAAAGGAAUAAUCAUAGUAGCCUCACUGGCUAUCUUCUUCCCUGUGACUCUGUCUUCAAUAAUUUAAUAAUGCAUCUGCUUCUAUUUUAUUAUUACAUUACAAAAAGUAACAAUCAAUUACCUCCUGAGAGGAAUGAAAAGUGUGGUAGGCUUGUUGGUGAACCAUCACAUCACAUAAAGAUAAAUGAAAGUUAAAAAAGUGAUAAACAACAUUGUGCAGCAUAUGAAAGAAAUAGGAACAACGCAGUAAAGUUAAAGUAAUAUGAUCUUGUCCACGUAAUAGGAGAUAUGCAUCACCUUUACAGCCCUCACAAGUUCCACGAGGGUCGAAGAGGAUCUGUUUCGAAUGGGAAUUGCCUGUAUGAACCGAGGGGUUCUAUCCUCAAUUCCUACAAUAAUUGCAAGAAAUACCUAAGUAAGGAGCUGGAGCCUGGAGUUUACAUUUGUGAGAUUUCCAUAAAUGAGAUGAGACGAGACGAGACGACUGUGCUACGGCAUUACAUGGAGAUGAGACGACUGCCGCCGUGCUGGAGACCCUGGGAUGCCAGACGGCGGACCUGCCCAUCACAUACCUGGGCAUCCCCCUCUCCACACGCCGCCCCUCCGCGGCCCAGAUGCAACCACUUGUCGACACGGUGGCAGGCCGCCUACCGACGUGGAAGGCGUGGCUCAUGAACAAGGCCGGGCGACUGGCGCUCGUCAAAUCUGUGCUAAGCGCCAUUCCCACACACCAAAUGCUCGCCCUCGCCCCCCCCCCUCCCGAAGAAAACCCUGAAGCAGCUCGAGAAGAUUCAGCGUGGGUUCCUCUGGGCCGGGCGCCAGGCCGCCCACGGAGGGCACUGCCACGUGAACUGGCGCCGGGUAUGCCGGCCGAUCGAGUAUGGUGGCCUGGGAGUCCGAGACCUUGAGCGCACGGGGCUCGCUCUUCGGCUCAGAUGGUUAUGGCUCUCGCGGACGGACACUAGUCGUGCCUGGCAUGGCCUGGACAUGCAGUUUACCCCCGAGGAGCACAGCCUUUUCCACGCCUCCACCACCAUGCAGCUCGGGGAUGGAACGACAGCACUCUUUUGGAAGGACCGAUGGCUCCUCGGCCUAUCCAUCCGUGAGCACGCGCCCGCGUUGUACAUGUGCAUCCCCAAAAAUCGCAGGAAAUCUCGGACGGUGGCGGAGGGCAUUCACGGCAACGCAUGGGCGCGGGAUAUCCACGGCAUCCUUGGCCUCCAGGAGAUUGGGCAGUAUCUCCAACUCUGGCUGUUGGUGUCUCGCACCACCCUUUCCCCAGAGUCGGACAAGCUAACUUGGAAAUGGACGGCCAACGGCAACUACACAGUCAGGUCCUGCUACCAAGCCACCUUCCACGGAUCCAUCGCUUGCCGCUCAUGGAAGUUGAUUUGGAAGAGUUGGGCCCCGUCGAAGGUCAGAUUCUUUCAUUGGCUCGCCAAUCAGGACCGCUGCUGGACUGCUGAGCGCCUUGCCCGCCAUGGCCUCACACACCACCCUCGGUGCCUCUUAUGCGAUCAAGAGCCGGAAACUAUGCAACACAUGUUGCUCACAUGCCCUUUCGCGAAGCAGACCUGCCACGGAAUCAUGUCCUGGCUGCGUCUCCCGGCUCCGGUGCCUGACCAGGACGCCACGCUCCAGGACUGGUGGCUGCGGGCUCGCGACGCUACGCCACCCCUGCUCCGCAAAGCGCUGGCCUCCGUCGCACUCCUUGUUCCUUGGAUGAUCUGGAAGCAUAGAAAUGCGUGUGUAUUUGACCAUGUAACCCCAUCAUUAGUCGAGCUAGACGCUGCGAUCAAGGACGAGUCCAAGAAUUGGGCUAAGGCAGGGGCCAAAGGGCUUAGGGUCACCCUGCCGUCCUCCUGGGACGUCCAUUGAUCCACUUGUAACAUCGUUGUACUGGCCUCUUAGGAGGAUGUUCUCCCCCCUCUUUUCAAUGCAAUGAAACGCAAAGGCUUUUUGCGUUUUCUCGAAAAAAAGAUUUCCAUAAAUAGUAUAAAAGAUGAGUUCAAAAAUUCCUAAAAAGUUCAAAACUGCAGUACAUAGAAAACUAUGUAUACAUACAAAUUUCAGUAUCGAUAGUCCCUGAAAUCAAUAACCAGAGAAGCUAUUAAAGUGGAAAAAAUAUUUUGUUCAAGUUUGAUAAGUAUUGAAAACUUUAAAUAUCCAAAACUAAGUGCCUUUUUUUUGUUACUGGUUCAAAUAUUGAGGUUUUAUAUUUCUCUGUUUUUUGCCGGUUAAUUAUGCCUUGAGUUUGCAAAAGUGAAUUACAUUCCGUAAAUUUAUGUUGAUACAUAUUUUUUCUUGGAUUGUAUAUCUAACAUAUAUUACAAAUGAAAAUAAUUGCAAACAGUGAUAUUAAUUUGAUGUGGUCGAUUGAUAACUAAUUGAGGGCUUCCAAAUCAUGGGAUCAAUUGGUAAGCAUUGGAGAAAUGUGCCCCGUUUGGUUUAUGCAAUUUGAUGGUUAGGAUCCUCCAGAUUCACCCCAACUCGUCAUUUUUAUAAUAGUAGAGAUGACUCGCCUUUCAGCAUGUGUUCAACAGAAAAAAUACCGCCGGUACUAGGCCACUGGUUGAAUUUUUUCCUGUUGAGUUCGUGGCUGCUCGGAUAGAUGAACAUAACAGUCAGUUGGCUCUCCCUAUUCUACCAUUGGUCAAAGUUUUUGUGCCAAUCAAUUUACGUAUGGAAAGAAGAUGAACCCUUAUGUAUUUCCUCAGUCAAUGCUGACAAUUUACUCUUUGUAACACACGUUGUACAAUUGCUGACAUGCUAGAAUAGGCGUACAAUCAUGUAAAGAAAGAUAUGCCUAGGAUCUACCAUCCGCUCUUUCGGCACAAGAUGUGAAACCUUUUUCAUGAUCAAAGAUAAAAAGAUGGGCCCUACCUGUAAAAAGAGAAAAGGGGGAAACAAUGGCCCCUUAACUCAAUAAAGGUGUUCCCCCAAUAUUUAUCAAUUGCGGAUUCUCAGGUUCAGUUUAAAAAAAAUCCUGAUUCUGAAUGUGCUUUCAACAAUUUCAUUGAGGAAAAAAAGACAUGAGAAAUCAUAAUACAAUUUUAGCAUGUAAACCUGCAAAUACGGAUCCAUAUCCUGGUGCACCAUACAGAUACAUGAGAAGAUGUAUAAUGUAUUGUGGUCGCCAUAUUGAUUGUAUAAGAAUUCAGUACGGUAGUUUGGCUCAAAUGAAAAUUCUUCUAAGUCAAAUGGCGAACAUCGUGCUUAUACAUUGAAACUUGAAUCUGGCCAACUAAGCUAAAUAGCUAAAACAGUCUGAAAGAAGGGCACAGUUCAGUUCAUUGCACUACAAACAUAGCGCGGUUCAAUCAUCAGUAGAUCAAGACCGGAUCAAAGUUUGCCUAACUAGCUUCAGUGUAGCAUCACUGUAAUGAUUGAAUAAGCAGCAACCUAAUUUAGAUUGUGAUGCCCUUGUUGACUUGACGAUAGCUGAGUCAUACAAGAAAUCAGGAUACGAGAGAUUACUAAACAAAUAAGAUGGCACUAUAGUAGCAACCAAAUCUGACUGGACAAAUGGUAUGGCUUCAGUACAAGCACUGUUAUAACCAUAAACCUGAGGUCAUUAUGCAGGUGGGUUGGAGCCCAGCAGCUGACGCUCUCAGUCGCACCUUACAGUCCUGAUCCUGUAACUGCGGUGCCUAACAGCCAAGUUAACUACUUGACUUGCUUUAUAAAACCUCCAAAACCUGAUUCUCAGGCUCCCAUAUUUGGUCAGGGUGCGUAACUGGUGCCUACUGUGUCCUGGAACCAGUGUUUGGUUGGGAUGAAAACUGAAAAUCGAAAUGCCAGACAUGUAACUCCUCCACCCCCCAAAUUAUUUCACGCCACCACGUUAUCAUAAGCGUGUCAGGCCCUAGCCCGACCCCACGGCCACUCCCCCAAAUUGCAAUCCCAUCUCCUGAAAUCUGAAGCCCAAAUGGACAGCCGGCGACCGCCAUUACCACCUAGGCGACGUGAUCUGCGGCUUAAGCUACGAUUAAGGGGACUACAUGAACCGACAUUGCUUCCAACCAAACAUCCAUCGAAAUCAAACAGAGCAUCGCUCUCCGCGCGUUCACGGAAACAGAAAUUUCGAUAAAUCGCUAGGAAUCGUGCGACCCAGGAGGAGGAGGAAGGUAAAAUUAUCGGUACCUCUGACGCGUAGGAGGGGAAUUAGGGCGGAACGACCCCGCGGGUUGGUCUGAUCGGACGGGAUCGAGGAACCCUAGAGUUUGGGUUGGGGCUGGCCCGCCGCCGCCGCCGCCUCGUCGCGUCGCUUCGAUCCCCACGCUUGCUCGAGACGGAGGGGAAAAUUUGGCGGCAGGACGAGGACGCAGGCGAGGCUGGU